This 497-nucleotide ribosomal RNA is filed under the name uncultured bacterium. RNAcentral describes it as "partial 16S ribosomal RNA". It matches the Rfam family "Bacterial small subunit ribosomal RNA", at positions 28 to 507 of the family's 1533-position model. The record is from RNAcentral.
GACGAACGCUGGCGGCGUGCCUAAUACAUGCAAGUUGAGCGAUGAAGAUUGGUGCUUGCCCCAAUUUGAAGAGCAGCGAACGGGUGAGUAACGCGUGGGGAAUCUGCCUUUGAGCGGGGGACAACAUUUGGAAACGAAUGCUAAUACCGCAUAACAACUUUAAACAUAAGUUUUAAGUUUGAAAGAUGCAAUUGCAUCACUCAAAGAUGAUCCCGCGUUGUAUUAGCUAGUUGGUGAGGUAAAGGCUCACCAAGGCGAUGAUACAUAGCCGACCUGAGAGGGUGAUCGGCCACAUUGGGACUGAGACACGGCCCAAACUCCUACGGGAGGCAGCAGUAGGGAAUCUUCGGCAAUGGACGAAAGUCUGACCGAGCAACGCCGCGUGAGUGAAGAAGGUUUUCGGAUCGUAAAACUCUGUUGGUAGAGAAGAACGCUGGUGAGAGUGGAAAGCUCAUCAAGUGACGGUAACUACCCAGAAAGGGACGGCUAACUACGUG